Cucumis melo (muskmelon) is the source of this 1472-nucleotide long non-coding RNA. RefSeq lists it as uncharacterized. The transcript is spliced from 3 exons. Lineage: Eukaryota; Viridiplantae; Streptophyta; Magnoliopsida; Cucurbitales; Cucurbitaceae. The record is from RefSeq and is a predicted model, not a curated record.
AUCCAACUUCCAUUCUUUUCCUUCUUCAAUUUGCAGAGAACAUUUAAGAGAGAGUUUGGAAGAAGAAGAAGAAUUUUAUUAGAAUUUUGAGGUUGAAGAAGAGAAGGAGAACUCAAGCAAAGUGUAUCCAUGGCUGAAUCUUGGUUCAUUUUGCACAUCACUAGUUUUUAAUUCAGUUUGAACUCUUCAAAAGGAAUUAAGAGGGACAAGUUAAAGGGGUCGUGUGCGAGCGAAUUCUGGAAGUUGUUCUAUUUCGAGGGUUAUCUGAGUUUAUUCACAGGGAAUCAGAUUUACAUGUCUUCAGGCCGAGAAGAAUUAAACGAGCUUAUAGACCAAGGAUCUAGCCCAAGACAGUGAGUGACAAAACCAACUUUGAAAUAUUUUUCAUAACUGUUAUUAUGAUUGAAUGCGUUAAAUGUUUAUUUACGAAGCCAUGAAAGAUAUUUGAAUUUCAUGACUAUUUUCAAGUAUACAUUUGGAGACUAGAUUUCUUAAAGAAAUUUAUGCUAGCACAUAGAUAUUAAAUGUUUGGCAAGUAUUUAAACCAUAAUGUUUGGAAAGUAUUUAAACCACAAUGUUUGAAGUAAAGCAUGAAUUAGUAAGAAGUUUUGUUUUAAGAACUACAGUUUUCCACAAAAGAGCUGAGUAAAGUUCGAGCUUUGUGUAAAAUUUAUAAGCAGGCAUGUUUUAAUAUUUUUAGAUGAUUUAUGAAAUUUUCAUUAACUAUAUGACUGAGAUCUUGAGCCUGAGGCUAGAGAUUACCGUGUGCACACUAGUUGGAUUUCGUUGUUGACGUUGAGUGUACUCCGUAACAACGAUGCUAUCGUGAGUGCUGGGCGGGCCCCACUACGACAAAGACGAUAAGAGUGUUGGGCGGGCCCCACUACGACAAAGACGAUAAGAGUGUUGGGCGGGCCCCACUACAUCGUAGAGCUUGUAAACGUUGUUGUAUUGGGUGUACCCUACACAACGUAGAUCUGUCAUGUUAGUUAAAAUGCUUCGAUAUACUUGAUAUCCCUUGCUAGAUUUCAAUGACGAACAUGUUGAGUAUUUGAGGAAGCUAUUCUUACUACUACACGUUUACAUUUACGACUUGUAUAAACAUAUUUAUAUGUGUAAAGUUUUCACGUGCUCUUAUCUUUAAAUUCAUAGUUUUAAACUGAGUCACUCACUGAGCUUUAUAGCUCACCCUUUCCAAAAUGUUUUAUCCAUUUUCCAGGUAGAGAUCGAGUUCCCGGUGCCUGAUAGACUGUCUUAGUCUGCUGAAGCUCCGUUAUCGAUUGCCAGUACAUGUUUUGAGUUGGGCAUAAAGUCUCUUGUGUUAUGAUGUAUAUACACCCUUAUAUGUUAUAGAUACUCCACAGUUUGUAUAAGCUUUAGGAGCUGUAGUUGUGUAAAUUUUUGUUGGUUAUAUUUUGAUUAAGGUGUAACGCCCCGAAUUUUCGAGGUAAAAUUUUAGCAUUUUAUGUGAA